RNAcentral lists this ribosomal RNA (92 nucleotides) under Salvator merianae (Argentine black and white tegu). The record is from RNAcentral. Lineage: Eukaryota; Metazoa; Chordata; Lepidosauria; Squamata; Teiidae.
CCCGUCACCAAUUUUGUGUGAUCUCAGAUUCUUAGCAGGCUUGGUGUGUCCUUGGCUGGAAGACCAUCUGGGAAUACCAGGUGCUGAAGGCU